Molecule: ribosomal RNA, 428 nt
Filed under: uncultured Glomus
Lineage: Eukaryota; Fungi; Glomeromycota; Glomeromycetes; Glomerales; Glomeraceae
Description: SSU rRNA
Rfam family: Eukaryotic small subunit ribosomal RNA
Source: RNAcentral
CGCAGCCGCGGUAAUUCCAGCUCCAAUAGCGUAUAUUAAAGUUGUUGCAGUUAAAAAGCUCGUAGUUGAAUUUCGGGAUCAAUGUUUCGGUCAUGCCGUUGGUAUGUACUGAUAUUAUUGAUUUCUCACCUUCUAAAGAACCGUAAUGCCAUUAAUUUGGUGUCACGGGGAAUUAGGACUGUUACCUUGAAAAAAUUAGAGUGUUUAAAGCAGGCUCACGCUUGAAUACAUUAGCAUGGAAUAAUGAAAUAGGACAUCCGAUUCUAUUUUGUUGGUUCUAGGAUCGAUGUAAUGAUUAAUAGGGAUAGUUGGGGGACAUUAGUAUUCAAUUGUCAGAGGUGAAAUUCUUGGAUUUAUGAAGACUAACUACUGCGAAAGCAUUUGCCAAGGAUGUUUCAUUAAUCAAGAACGAAAGUUAGGGAUCGAAG